GAUGAACGCUGGCGGCGUGCCUAAUACAUGCAAGUCGAGCGAACGGACGAGAAGCUUGCUUCUCUGAUGUUAGCGGCGGACGGGUGAGUAACACGUGGAUAACCUACCUAUAAGACUGGGAUAACUUCGGGAAACCGGAGCUAAUACCGGAUAAUAUUUUGAACCGCAUGGUUCAAAAGUUAAAGACGGUCUUGCUGUCACUUAUAGAUGGAUCCGCGCUGCAUUAGCUAGUUGGUAAGGUAACGGCUUACCAAGGCAACGAUGCAUAGCCGACCUGAGAGGGUGAACGGCCACACUGGAACUGAGACACGGUCCAGACUCCUACGGGAGGAAGCAGUAGGGAAUCUUCCGCAAUGGGCGAAAGCCUGACGGAGCAACGCCGCGUGAGUGAUGAAGGUCUUCGGAUCGUAAAACUCUGUUAUUAGGGAAGAACAUAUGUGUAAGUAACUGUGAACAUCUUGACGGUACCUAAUCAGAAAGCCACGGCUAACUACGUG
RNAcentral lists this ribosomal RNA (497 nucleotides) under uncultured bacterium. Its description in RNAcentral is "partial 16S ribosomal RNA". It matches the Rfam family "Bacterial small subunit ribosomal RNA", at positions 28 to 507 of the family's 1533-position model. The record is from RNAcentral.